UAGGACGUAGUAUAAAUAAAUUAUAUCUCAUUUACACUGAGAUGGUGGUAGUAUUAUUGCCCGUUCUAA
RNAcentral lists this transfer RNA (69 nucleotides) under Iridona iridescens. RNAcentral's name for it is "Moerella iridescens tRNA-Val". The record is from RNAcentral. Lineage: Eukaryota; Metazoa; Mollusca; Bivalvia; Cardiida; Tellinidae.